UCAAAAGCUCCGUCUCGUCGUUCCCAACAUGACUGUGAUGUUGUUCCUCCAUGGGAAGCUUUGGUGAGAGAGAAAAGAAGGAGGGAAGGUGGCUGUUUUUCCAAUCGGGUUUCCGAUUCGGGCGACGGCGGCGAGCGUGAAUGGUACUGUAAGCUGCCUCUCGUCCUCGUGGUCUUCUCUAUGUCCUCAGUUUCUUCAGAAGAGGUCGGGAGAGAGAGAUUCGAAGUGAAGAAGGAGAGACUCGGUUCGCCGGUGAGUUUCCGAUUCCGGCCAAGUCGUGGUCUCUCACCGGUGUGGAUAGCUUUUUCUCCUCAUCCACGACGUCCCUGUAACUUCAGCUUGUCGAGAUGAGGUCAGGUGAGGGAGAAUCGAAGAGAAGAAGGUUUGGGAUUUUCCGGCAAGGGUUCGAAGCCUUCCGGCCACCGGCGAAGGCAAGUGAGGUAUGGAACUUGAUCUUCUUGUUGAGCUCUACCUGUUUAUAUAAUUGAAACUGAGUUUUGUUGAGUUUGGAGGAAGUUGGAUUUUUGGCAAUGGGUGACUGCCGUACUUGCCGCCGUGCACGACGGUGGUGAAGGUGUUUGAUUCAUAUCUGGUUUCGGAUUUCAUGUUAUAUGUGUAGUUGAGAUGCAGUUUUGAUUGAGAAUUGAAGGGGUUGGAAUUUGCAGAAAUGGAGAAGCUGGGUGAUGGAGAGGGAUGAUGAGCUGUGUGCUCGGUGAUUGCAGUGGAAGUUUUGGUAUUGUCUGUUUAAGUUCUGACAUAAAUGAAGCUGCAGAAAAGAUGUUAGUUGUGUAUAUACUUAUUUCCAAGAAGCUGGAAGAAUUGGGUAAUUAGAUGGUUAAGUCUUGCUGAAGAAUUACGUAGUAUGGUCGAUUACGAUGUUAGGAGCCAAAGCAUAUAUAAUUGUAGGUUCUGGGCUUUUCUGUUAAUGGAAGUUGAAGUGCGAAUAUUAAUACUGUGAAGAUUAAGUUUCAUAGUUUGUCUUAAUAUGGAUUGUGGCAAGCAAUGGAGCUAGAUGGUAUAUGUUAUGGCAAAUAAAGCAUGUGCAUCCGGAAAAGUGGAAGCAAUGGUAUGAUUGAGCAUUGUUGGCAGAAUAAUGGUAUGAGGAUGCAUGGUAAUUGGAAGGUGUUCAAGACAAGGCUUGGAAGGAAGGACACAUUAUGGGUGUAUGGUAUUUUGGGUGUCCAGAGUAAUUCUGGAGGAGUUUGGAUGGGUGUUUGGAGCAUAGUUGGGAUACGCCGACAAAGUUAACUACAAAUGUAGAUUUAAAAGGUGGGGAUAAUGUGAAUGAAUACAUAUGGUAUAUGAUUCGGAAGUUAUCAAAAAUGUGAGAGGAAUUGGAAAUAAGGAUUUGGGUGUCCUUAUCAAUUUCAAGGACUUGAUCGUUUCUAAUAAAAGUGUUUGCCGACUUCCUUGGAACAAGGCGAUAUGAGGAUCGAAUGCAAGUAGCAGGUUCCAGAAGUAGAAGGAUAAAGAUUUCAGAAUGCGUGUCGUAACGUUACUAAUUUUAGCUGGCGUCAGAACUAACACUCGGAUUUCAGGUUCGGCGUCAGGUGCUUGGAAACCACCGACACCGGGUCUAGGGUGUGACACCUUAUGUGUCUACUAUUUGUUCUCGGUGGCAGCCACCUAGUCCAGGUGGACUGAGACUAGCGGCAGGAGAACCCAGCUU
RNA transcript from Fragaria vesca subsp. vesca, 1669 nucleotides. RefSeq lists it as uncharacterized. Lineage: Eukaryota; Viridiplantae; Streptophyta; Magnoliopsida; Rosales; Rosaceae. The transcript has 3 exons. The record is from RefSeq and is a predicted model, not a curated record.